AGAACGAACGCUGGCGGCAGGCCUCAAACAUGCAAGUCUAGGGGGUGUAGCAAUACAUCACCGGCGGACGGGUGCGUAACACGUGGGAAUAUACCUUUUGGUUCGGAACAACGCAGGGAAACUUGCGCUAAUACCGAAUGUGCCCUUACGGGGAAAGAUUUAUCGCCAAAGGAUUAGCCCGCGUAGGAUUAGCUAGUUGGUGAGGUAAUGGCUCACCAAGGCUCCGAUCCUUAGCUGUUCUGAGAGGAAGAUCAGCCACACUGGGACUGAGACACGGCCCAGACUCCUACGGGAGGCAGCAGUUGGGAAUCUUGGACAAUGGGGGAAACCCUGAUCCAGCCAUGCCGCGUGAGUGAUGAAGGCCUUCGGGUUGUAAAACUCUUUCGACGGGGACGAUAAUGACGGUACCGUAGAAGAAGCUCCGGCUAACUUCGCGCCAGCAGCCGC
This 447-nucleotide ribosomal RNA is filed under the name uncultured bacterium. RNAcentral's name for it is "SSU rRNA". It matches the Rfam family "Bacterial small subunit ribosomal RNA", at positions 26 to 518 of the family's 1533-position model. The record is from RNAcentral.